UGUCAUUGGCCUCUUGGAUUAGAAAACCAGGUCAUCUGUCUCGGGGCGAUGAGAUGACCCAGAAGGGACUAUUUCCCCCGGUCCUUCCGGCUGAAUUUUGAAGGUCUUUGUCAGUUUGAGUGUUGCUGGGUGGACCGUCUCGGUUAACCUUACAUUCUCAGUUUGUCUCCUCUCUCCUCUCCUUGUCCACUGGGUCUCCCGCUCCCGGUUUCUGUGUGCUAGCACCACAGACAGCUCCCAGGGCGCCGGGUGGAGCUAGGUAACCUGGGCUGGCGGGUUCCGGGUAAAAGCCUAGGCGGCCGCAGCGGAGGCGUCUAGGAAGGGUCGGCGGCGCCCGGGGGGAGGUAAGCAAAGUGAUUACAAAGCAACCUCCCCGGCAGCGUUUCCUGAUUAGCUCUAAGUCCAAACAGGGUCACAUUCCAAAGAACAAAAUCUUCAGAUCAAUAAAGUAAUUCAAAAACCCAAAGAUCUCGGGGUAAGUAGUGCUCAGUGACAGAUCAACUGUGAAUCGUCCCUAUUUAAUAAGUUCUUAGUGGAAGCCGAGGAGGGAGGAGCCGGGCCUCAGGUCUGCGGCUCCAAGACCUUGCGCCGCGGCUGCGACGAGGUGGCCGGCGGAACCCUUCUAACUGGCACAUACUUC
RNAcentral lists this long non-coding RNA (640 nucleotides) under Homo sapiens (human). RNAcentral describes it as "HSALNT0010467". The record is from RNAcentral. Lineage: Eukaryota; Metazoa; Chordata; Mammalia; Primates; Hominidae.